AUGAGCUCCCAGAUCGCCCACUCCACGCCGUUGAUCGCCAGCACCUGCGACGCCGCCGCGGCCCCCGCGCGCCGGCACAGCAGCACAAGCGCGGCCGCCGCGCACUCCCGCGACCACUCCGUGCCGCGCCGCAUCUCAGCCACCAGCUUCGCCACGGCGCCGUCGAUGUUCACGAUCGCCUCCGCCCCGCCGCGCUUGGCCAGCGACGCCAGCACCGCCGCGGCGGUCUCCUCCUCGCUGAUCGCUGACAGUGCCGCCUCAGCGGCGCCCGCUCCCACGAGCUUGCCCACGUUCUCCCUCUCCGCGGACAGGCACAGCAGCGCGGCCAGCGCGUCCUUCUUGGUGCUCGGGGGGCCCGUGCGCACCAGGAGCACCACCUUCUCGAUCACAAGUGGGUUCCGGCCGAGCCGGCGGCGGUAUGUAUGGACGGCCGACAGGCUGAGCACGGUGGCAGCGGCGUUCUCCUUCGCCCGCCAGGUCGCGCCGGAGCCCAUCACUUCGCAGAGGGCCGCCACCGCGCCGUCGGCGUGCAUGAUGCGCUUCUUGUUGGCAUCGAGAAUGGAGAGGUUGAGCAGCGCCGUGACGGAGUUGAGCUGCAGCGCGGCGUCCUCGGAGUUGAGCAGCGGCACGAGGAGCGGGACGGCGCCGGCCUCUCCGAUGAACGCGCGGCUCUCGGAGCCGGACUUGGCGAGCAGACGGAUCUUGUGCACGACACGGUUGUCCGAGCCAGGGGAGAACGACGCCGAGAGCUUCUUCACCAGAAACGACGCGGUCAUGCGCGCCGCCUCCACCGCGGCCUUGUUUGCGGCCACCGGCGGCGCCGGCUCGGGCUUGCCAGGCUCGCUGCCUUCCAUGGCGACGCCAUUCUCCCGGCACCACCGCGAGAUCAAGUUCUUGAGCGCCUUGUUGGGCACCAGCUCCAGAUUAGUCAGCACCUGGCCGGUCUUGGGGCACGUCGACUUGCCGGCGCCGAACCACCGCGUAAUGGACUCGCGGUCGUACGUCUGGCCACUAGCGGACACAACCGGGUCGCGCAUCAGGUCGAGAGAGAUGGGGCAGCGGAAGUCCGGCGGCGGCGCCAGAGGCUCGGUGUCAUCGUCGUCGGCCUCCACCUUGGAGUCGAGCGGCCGCGGCGUGGCAGCGCUGAAGAGGACGCACUUGGCGUACCGGAGGAGGCCGACGAGGGCAAUCAUGGCCGAAGUCCACCGCUCCGCCAGUCGGUCGCCGAUCUCGCGCUCCAAGAUCUCGAUCUCCUGGCUGCAGCUGGCCGGGUCGUUGAUGGCCACCUCCUCGAGGAUGGCCUCCAGGCGCUCCCGCUCAGGCACGAUCUCCCGCUCGACUUCCUGGAUGAGCGCCAGCACGCUGGCCUUGAGCUCCUGCUCGGCCGCGGCCUCGGGCGCGCGGCGCCGGCACUGGCGCGAGGCGAGCGUGAGCAGGUCGGCCACGUCGUCGGCGAGCCCGAGCUCACCAACCGGGAGAAUAUCGAGCAGCGUGGCGAGGUCGUGCUGCAGCUCGCGCACGCGCGCGGCGACCUCGUCGGACUGCAGCAGCAGGCGCAUGCGGCUGCGCGCGGAGCAGUCGGCCACGACGGCCUUGAAGCGCUGCAGCACGAGCAGCACCUCGCGGAGGCAGAGCGAGGCGGACCGCGGCAGGGCGACGGCCGCGCCCAGCAGCAGCAGGUCGUCGAACACGGCGACGAGGAGGCGCGCCCGGCGGGACACGGACGCGAAGACGGCCCUGAGGAACGGCGCCGGCGGGUCGGCGGCGGCCAGGUCGCGCGCCAGGCGGCGCAGGGACCGGAGGAUCUCCACGUCGGGCGCCGACGCGGAGUACGGCGAAGAGGACGGCUCGGCCGUGCUGGCCAUUGCGGCAACCAGAGGGCGGCGACGGAUGCGUGAAGCCUUUUGA
This 1908-nucleotide ribosomal RNA is filed under the name Triticum aestivum (bread wheat). RNAcentral's name for it is "partial small subunit ribosomal RNA". The record is from RNAcentral. Lineage: Eukaryota; Viridiplantae; Streptophyta; Magnoliopsida; Poales; Poaceae.